RNAcentral lists this small RNA (171 nucleotides) under Marmota monax (woodchuck). Lineage: Eukaryota; Metazoa; Chordata; Mammalia; Rodentia; Sciuridae. The record is from RNAcentral.
GCUGGGCACGGUGGCACGUGCCUGUAAUCCCAGUGACUCGGGAGGCUGAGGCAGGAGGAUCUCAAGCUUUUCAUCUCAAAAGACAAAAAGGGCUGGGGAUGUGGCACCUCUGGAUUCAAUCCCCAGUAUCAAUAAAAAGAAGAACAAAAGAAAAGAGAAAUCCUCUCUCCC